Psammomys obesus (fat sand rat) is the source of this 768-nucleotide long non-coding RNA. RefSeq lists it as uncharacterized. NCBI's taxonomy places the organism in Eukaryota, Metazoa, Chordata, Mammalia, Rodentia, Muridae. The record is from RefSeq and is a predicted model, not a curated record. The transcript has 5 exons.
GAAGGACUUCAUGGCGGAUGUGGGUUGGGCCUUCGAGCUUCUGAAGCAUCGUCACCAGGAAAGAUUACCCAGUGGAACACUGCGGCAGCAUCUCUGCCCCAACAACUGUUCCCCACUUGGUGAGACAUUCAAUUCUCUGUCCUACAAGACAGAGUCAGUGAUCCCCUAGGUGAACACCAGCACUCCAAUUACAGGACCAUCUGCCAGAGUGACCAAGCAGGGACCCGAUGUUAUGCUCCAGAAGGACAGUGUGCUUCUGGCACGAGGCACAGCAAAUGCUCCAUUAAACUAGAAGCUAAGACUCCUCCUCUUCCUGGCCACCUGGGCUCCUCAUACCAUUGGACCAGUAGUCUAAAAAGGAACAACAGGACAUAUGAUUGACCCAGACUUCAAGGAAAAACUGGAUGAGUCUCCACAAUGGAGGUAAGAAAUGCAGAUGACUGAAAUGCAGAAAAUCCUUUAGGAUGUCUCUUGGUGUUAACAUGUCAAUGAAAAAAAUCCAAUCACCCAAUCCAGGUUGGCUGUUAAGUGGCCUAGAGCCGUCAAGAAUGAAGGUGCUGGUCACCCCUUCAUACAAAGAACCAAAAUCUGCUGAGAUGCCUGCUGAGGUGUAUAAGCCACCAUCCAGAGGAGUCAGGGAAGGAACUCAAGGCAAGAACCUGGAGACCGGAAUCGAUGCAGAGACCAUGGAGAGCAUGAGGAGAAGUGACCGGGUGUCAAGCUGAUGAGAGGCAGACAUGUGAUGGAUAAUCCUGGUGGUCAAUUUAA